ACUAGAAUUAACUAACCAUUUAAACUAGAAUCGUCUAACCCUUUAAACUGGAAUUAACUAACCAUUUAAACUAGAAUCGUCUAACCCUUUUAACUAGAAUUAACUAACCCUUUAAACUAGAAUCAACUAACCAUUUAAACUAGAAUCAUCUAACCAUUUAAACUAGAAUCAUCUAACCAUUGUAACUAGAAUUAACUAACCCUUUAAACUAGAAUUAACUAACCAUUUUAACAAGAAUUAACUAACCCUUUAAACUAGAAUCAACUAACCAUUUAAACUAGAAUUAACUAACCCUUUAAACUAGAAUUAACUAACCCUUUAAACUAGAAUUAACCAACCAUUUAAACUAAAAUCAUCUAACCCUUUAAACUAGAAUCAACUAACCUUUAAACUAGAAUUAACUAACCAUUUAAACUAGAAUUAACUAACCAUUUAAACUAGAAUUAACUAACCAUUUGAACUAGAAUAAUCUAACCCUUUAACUAGAAUGAACUAACCUUUAAACUAGAAUUAACUAACCCUUUAAACUAGAAUUAACUAACCCUUUAAACUAGAAUUAACCAACCUUUUAAACAAGAAUUAACUAACCUUUUAACUAGAAUUAACUAACCAUUUAAACUAGAAUCAUCUAACCCUUUAACUAGAAUCAACUAACCUUUUAAACUAGAAUCGUCUAACCCUUUUAACUAGAAUUAACUAACCCUUUAAACUAGAAUUAACUAACCAUUUAAACUAGAAUCGUCUAACCCUUUAAACUGGAAUUAACUAACCAUUUAAACUAGAAUCGUCUAACCCUUUUAACUAGAAUUAACUAACCCUUUAAACUAGAAUUAACUAACCAUUUAAACUAGAAUCGUCUAACCCUUUAAACUAGAAUUAACUAACCAUUUAAACUAGAAUCGUCUAACCCUUUAAACUGGAAUUAACUAACCAUUUAAACUAGAAUCAUCUAACCAUUUUAACUAGAAUUAACUAACCCUUUAAACUAACCCUUUAAACUAGAAUUAACUAACCAUUUUAACUAGAAUUAACUAACCCUUUAAACUAGAAUCAACUAACCAUUUAAACUAGAAUUAACUAACCCUUUAAACUAGAAUUAACUAACCCUUUUAACUAGAAUUAACUAACCCUUUAAACUAGAAUUAACUAACCAUUUAAACUAGAAUCGUCUAACCCUUUAAACUAGAAUCAACUAACCCUUUAAACUAGAAUUAACUAACCCUUUAAACUAGAAUUAACUAACCCUUUUAACUAGAAUCAUCUAACCCUUUAAACUAGAAUUAACUAACCUUUAAACUAGAAUUAACUUACCAUUUAAACUAGAAUCAUCUAACCCUUUAACUAGAAUGAACUAACCUUUAAACUAGAAUUAACUAACCAUUUAAACUAGAAUUAACUAACCCUUUAAACUAGAAUUAACCAACCAUUUAAACUAGAAUCAACUAACCUUUUAACUAGAAUUAACUAACCAUUUAAACUAGAAUCAUCUAACCCUUUAAACUAGAAUCAUCUAACCCUUUAAACUAGAAUCAACUAACCCUUUAAACUAGAAUUAACUAACCUUUUAAACUAGAAUUAACUAACCCUUUAAACUAGAAUCAACUAACCAUUUAAACUAGAAUUAACUAACCCUUUAAACUAGAAUUAACUAACCCUUUAAACUAGAAUUAACCAACCAUUUAAACUAAAAUCAUCUAACCCUUUAAACUAGAAUUAACUAACCCUUUUAACUAGAAUUAACUAACCAUUUAAACUAGAAUCGUCUAACCCUUUAAACUAGAAUCAACUAACCAUUUAAACUAGAAUCAACUAACCCUUUAAACUAGAAUCAACUAACCAUUUAAACUAGAAUUAACUAACCAUUUAAACUAAAACCAUUUAAACUAGAGCCUUGAAAGAGGAGCAACAUGUCAUGUCAUGUCAUGUCAAGCACUGGUUAUGCAAUCUUUCAUCUGAAAGGUAUUUUAAAUAUGUAAGGUGUUUAUUUUCAGUGUGUAUUGGUUUCAGCGCACACGCACGCACGCACACACACACACACACACACACUCAUCUGUCAGUGAUCAUGGCGGCGGUGUCGGCUCGUCGGUUCGUGUCUCUGUCGCUCGGUUCUUUAGUUCCUCGCGCUCGGCUGGUUCGGGCUCAGCAGCACCGGACCGCAGUGAGCACCACCUCCGGCGCCAUUCUGCCCAAACCCAAGAAAACGGCGUUUGGUCUGUUCCGGAUCAUGAUGGUCGUGGCUCCGUUCCUGUACGUCGGGACGCUGAUCAGCAAGAACUUCGCGGCUCUGCUGGAGGAACACGAUAUAUUCGUGCCCGAGGAUGAUGACGAUGACGAUUGAUCACAGGUCUGCCGUCACGAGCGACUGCAUCUGUACGAUCUGACGUCACUUCAGAUUCUCGUAACGAGCGAUCGAUGUUUGUUUCUUUCCUCAGAUGCUGCUGGAGAGUCGCUCAAUAAACACUGGAGAAUCCGUGUGUGAUUCAGUGAUCCGUGUAUAAACAUUCAUCCUGGAGGAUAAGAUUCAUCUGUCUGUAACUGUGUAUUUAUGAAAAUUCACGAACGGUUAAAACGUAGCAAUGUUGAAUUAUUGAUUCUGUUGAACACCGAUCUACAAUAGGGAUAUAUACACACACUUACGAAACGAAUCAGUCGAGUGAACGAUUCAAUGUUUCGAAUCUGAACGAGGAUCUGCUGAUUCUAUUUCAAAUAAAUGCUGUUCUUUUGAACUUUC
Ctenopharyngodon idella (grass carp) is the source of this 2731-nucleotide long non-coding RNA. RefSeq lists it as uncharacterized. The record is from RefSeq and is a predicted model, not a curated record. The transcript has 2 exons. NCBI's taxonomy places the organism in Eukaryota, Metazoa, Chordata, Actinopteri, Cypriniformes, Xenocyprididae.